This 370-nucleotide ribosomal RNA is filed under the name uncultured bacterium. RNAcentral describes it as "bacterial SSU rRNA". It matches the Rfam family "Bacterial small subunit ribosomal RNA", at positions 29 to 424 of the family's 1533-position model. The record is from RNAcentral.
AGCGAACGCUGGCGGCAGGCUUAACACAUGCAAGUCGAACGGGCGUAGCAAUACGUCAGUGGCAGACGGGUGAGUAACGCGUGGGAACGUACCUUUUGGUUCGGAACAACACAGGGAAACUUGUGCUAAUACCGGAUAAGCCCUUACGGGGAAAGAUUUAUCGCCAAAAGAUCGGCCCGCGUCUGAUUAGCUAGUUGGUGAGGUAACGGCUCACCAAGGCGACGAUCAGUAGCUGGUCUGAGAGGAUAAUCAGCCACAUUGGGACUGAGACACGGCCCAAACUCCUACGGGAGGCAGCAGUGGGGAAUAUUGGACAAUGGGCGAAAGCCUGAUCCAGCCAUGCCGCGUGAGUGAUGAAGGCCCUAGGGUU